RNAcentral lists this ribosomal RNA (781 nucleotides) under uncultured marine bacterium. Its description in RNAcentral is "bacterial SSU rRNA". It matches the Rfam family "Bacterial small subunit ribosomal RNA", at positions 14 to 794 of the family's 1533-position model. The record is from RNAcentral.
UGAUCCUGGCUCAGAUUGAACGCUGGCGGCAGGCCUAACACAUGCAAGUCGAACGGUAACAGGAUAGCUUGCUAUCGCUGACGAGUGGCGGACGGGUGAGUAAUACUUAGGGAUCUGCCUCUGUGUGGGGGAUAACUAUUGGAAACGAUAGCUAAUACCGCAUAAUGUCUACGGACCAAAGCGGGCUUCGGCUCGUGCGCAGAGAGGAACCUAAGCGAGAUUAGCUAGUUGGUGAGGUAAAGGCUCACCAAGGCGACGAUCUCUAGCUGUUCUGAGAGGAAGAUCAGCCACACUGGAACUGAGACACGGUCCAGACUCCUACGGGAGACAACAGUGGGGAAUAUUGCACAAUGGGGGAAACCCUGAUGCAGCCAUGCCGCGUGUGUGAAGAAGGCCUUCGGGUUGUAAAGCACUUUCAGUUGUGAGGAAAGUUUAGUAGUUAAUACCUGCUAGAUGUGACGUUAGCAACAGAAGAAGCACCGGCUAACUCCGUGCCAGCAGCCGCGGUAAUACGGAGGGUGCGAGCGUUAAUCGGAAUUACUGGGCGUAAAGCGCACGCAGGCGGUCUGUUAAGCUAGAUGUGAAAGCCCCGCGCUCAACGUGGGAGGGUCAUUUAGAACUGGCAGACUAGAGUCUUGGAGAGGGGAGUGGAAUUCCAGGUGUAGCGGUGAAAUGCGUAGAGAUCUGGAGGAACAUCAAUGGCGAAGGCAACUCCCUGGCCAAAGACUGACGCUCAUGUGCGAAAGUGUGGGUAGCGAACAGGAUUAGAUACCCUGGUAGU